UAUUAGAUGACUGAAAAAUAAGUAUAAACCUUUUAAGUUUAGUAUGGUUUACACCUCUAAUUA
This 63-nucleotide transfer RNA is filed under the name Bathynella cf. rufa JHS-2017. Its description in RNAcentral is "tRNA-Lys". Lineage: Eukaryota; Metazoa; Arthropoda; Malacostraca; Bathynellacea; Bathynellidae. The record is from RNAcentral.